UACGGAGGAUGCAAGCGUUAUCCGGAAUGAUUGGGCGUAAAGGGUCCGCAGGUGGCAUUGUAUGUCUGCUGUUAAAGAGUUUGGCUCAACCAAAUAAAAGCAGUGGAAACUACAAAGCUAGAGUACGUUCGGGGCAGAGGGAAUUCCUGGUGUAGCGGUGAAAUGCGUAGAGAUCAGGAAGAACACCGGUGGCGAAAGCGCUCUGCUAGGCCUGUACUGACACUGAGGGACGAAAGCUAGGGGAGCGAAUGGG
RNAcentral lists this ribosomal RNA (253 nucleotides) under uncultured bacterium. RNAcentral's name for it is "partial 16S ribosomal RNA". It matches the Rfam family "Bacterial small subunit ribosomal RNA", at positions 524 to 776 of the family's 1533-position model. The record is from RNAcentral.